AAAACAGCGACAGUGUGGAUGCGACGUCACGUGUAUGUUUUGUCUUUUUGUUUGUUUGUUUUUUUUACGUAAUUGAAACGUUUAAAAAUAAAAACGUAAUGAUGAACCAUUUAGGUUAAUGGACAAGAUGUCUGUCAGUUGCAGAAACAAAAUGACAUAAGAUAUUGAGGAAUAAAAGGAAGACAGAAGAAGCAAUGGAUUGUUAGUGAGGCGUGUUUUGCUGAAACACAUGAGCAGAUGCUUCUCUAUUUCAUCCGAAGCCAUAAACUUGGAGCAAACGGGACAAUGGAAGCCUGGGAAGACAACACCAAGACAAAAAUGUGAGCACCCAGAUGUGCCACCGUCACUCUUAUAA
Long non-coding RNA from Scatophagus argus, 355 nucleotides. RefSeq lists it as uncharacterized. The record is from RefSeq and is a predicted model, not a curated record. Lineage: Eukaryota; Metazoa; Chordata; Actinopteri; Scatophagidae. The transcript is spliced from 3 exons.